RNAcentral lists this long non-coding RNA (364 nucleotides) under Sus scrofa (pig). RNAcentral describes it as "lncRNA (ENSSSCG00040065635.1)". Lineage: Eukaryota; Metazoa; Chordata; Mammalia; Artiodactyla; Suidae. The record is from RNAcentral.
AUCAAUGCACUUGUAUACUGGGGGCAGGUCUUAGCCUGUCCCUAUGCCCUUUCACUCUAGGGAUCUCUACAUCCUCCUCUUUCCCACUCCACCUGAGCCACCUACACCUCUUUGGGGGACCCUUGUGCCAAGAAACCUACCUUAAUCCAGAUCAAGUGAAUGAAGCCUGGGAUUCUGGAUCUCAAGGUCUCCUCAAACUUCUUCCCUCACAUCCGAGUCUCUUCCUCCCCUAGGAGUCUCCUGGUGCAUGGAACUGACCUGAAACUGGAGUUCCCCCAAAGCCUCUGUCUUCCUUCUGUAGCUGAGCUGCUUCAGCCUCUGUGGGACACUCAUUUGAAGGAACCUGUCUAAAUCCAUGUAAGGU